AGCGAACGCUGGCGGCAGGCCUAACACAUGCAAGUCGAACGGAUCCUUCGGGAUUAGUGGCGGACGGGUGAGUAACACGUGGGAACGUGCCCUUUGGUUCGGAACAACUCAGGGAAACUUGAGCUAAUACCGGAUGUGCCCUUCGGGGGAAAGAUUUAUCGCCAUUGGAGCGGCCCGCGUCUGAUUAGCUAGUUGGUGAGGUAACGGCCCACCAAGGCGACGAUCAGCAGCUGGUCUGAGAGGAUGAUCAGCCACACUGGGACUGAGACACGGCCCAGACUCCUACGGGAGGCAGCAGUGGGGAAUCUUGCGCAAUGGGCGAAAGCCUGACGCAGCCAUGCCGCGUGAAUGAUGAAGGUCUUAGGAUUGUAAAAUUCUUUCAGCGGGGACGAUAAUGACGGUACCCGCAGAAGAAGCUCCGGCUAACUUCGUG
This 433-nucleotide ribosomal RNA is filed under the name uncultured bacterium. RNAcentral's name for it is "partial 16S ribosomal RNA". It matches the Rfam family "Bacterial small subunit ribosomal RNA", at positions 29 to 507 of the family's 1533-position model. The record is from RNAcentral.